UUGGCUAUACUUUCAGGGAUCGUUUCUGUAGUUUUUAACUUGGAAAUGUGAUUUGAAUGUGUAUGUCUCCCUAUCUACGAUGAUGAGCCAAUAUGCUUCCUUUUGAGAAUGAAUUGGGUGAAGUGUGAUGAAUUGGGUGAAGUGUGUUUUAUUUCAUGCACUUCAUUCCUGAUGAAUGUUCUUACUGUGUUCCACAGUGUAGAGAAAGGAAGUAUCUUCUGCGUGGG
Molecule: small nucleolar RNA, 227 nt
Filed under: Electrophorus electricus (electric eel)
Lineage: Eukaryota; Metazoa; Chordata; Actinopteri; Gymnotiformes; Gymnotidae
Description: Small nucleolar RNA U3
Rfam family: Small nucleolar RNA U3
About the family: Small nucleolar RNAs (snoRNAs) are involved in the processing and modification of rRNA in the nucleolus.
Source: Rfam by way of RNAcentral